This is a long non-coding RNA of Bombus huntii, 828 nucleotides long. RefSeq lists it as uncharacterized. The transcript has 3 exons. The record is from RefSeq and is a predicted model, not a curated record. NCBI's taxonomy places the organism in Eukaryota, Metazoa, Arthropoda, Insecta, Hymenoptera, Apidae.
AAAAAGUUUCUGUUUUAAAUUUAGAUCAUCACAUUGAUGAAAUAUGUACACAUGAAAACAUUUUUUUUUCACGUGAUGUUUCAUUUUAGAACAGAUUUACUCCCGCUGAAUGAUAAUGGACAACAAAAUGUAAAUAUAGUCAAGAGAUACAAGAUGAGAUUUCAUUCAACUGACAAAUUCUGCGAAAGAAUGUUUGACACCUAUUUUUUGAUAUUUGGUAUUCAAAGCUUGUAAUUUAAUAUUCUAAGCUCAGUACUCAGCAUUUGAUACUUAAUAUCUACAAUUUAAUAUCUACAAUUUAUUUAAUAAUUUAACGCUUGGUAUUCAUUAACCAGAACUUAAUAUCGCUUAGAACAGUGUAUUUAACUCACAAUAUUUUACAUUUCUUUCUUAGCAUUCAUAUUUACUAAUAUUCACUAUUACGUUCUCAACACGUAUUCAAACUUUAUCUGCUAUCCUCGCAAAGUACAAUGCAUAUUACUAAAACCUUAUUAUGCCUUGCCCAAGAAAUCAAAUCUGUGCUAGACGAUCAUCCAUUAGAGCAAAGGUCCUCAACUUGGUGUACAAGUUCCCUGGUAGUAUCCGGGAAAGUUUUUGAGGCACACCAUAGCCGCCAUUAAUUGCUUAUUACAAUGUUCAUGAUUUUAUAAGAGUGGACAAAUUUGAAGAUAUGAACGACAGAUGACACUGUCGCAUACAUACAUACAGAAAAAUAAGGAAAAAGAUAAGAAGCAGAAAGGAAAGAAUAAAAAACAGAACUAACAAUGCAAUUAUGACGGACACGCAAUAGCGGGCAACCAAUCGGAUAACGAGCACGAGUACAGGGGC